UACGUAGGGGGCAAGCGUUGUCCGGAUUCAUUGGGCGUAAAGAGCUCGUAGGCGGCUUGGCAAGUCGGGUGUGAAAACUCCAGGCUCAACCUGGAGACGCCACCCGAUACUGCCAUGGCUAGAGUCCGGUAGGGGACCACGGAAUUCCUGGUGUAGCGGUGAAAUGCGCAGAUAUCCGGAGGAACACCGGUGGCGAAGGCGGGUCUCUGGGCCGAUACUGACGCUGAGGAGCGAAAGCGUGGGGAGCGAACAGG
This 254-nucleotide ribosomal RNA is filed under the name uncultured bacterium. RNAcentral's name for it is "partial 16S ribosomal RNA". It matches the Rfam family "Bacterial small subunit ribosomal RNA", at positions 524 to 776 of the family's 1533-position model. The record is from RNAcentral.